UGGGAGGUUCCGACAGGAUGUGCAGGA
RNAcentral lists this non-coding RNA (27 nucleotides) under Homo sapiens (human). The record is from RNAcentral. Lineage: Eukaryota; Metazoa; Chordata; Mammalia; Primates; Hominidae.